This 409-nucleotide ribosomal RNA is filed under the name Fusobacteriota bacterium. RNAcentral describes it as "Fusobacteria bacterium partial 16S ribosomal RNA". It matches the Rfam family "Bacterial small subunit ribosomal RNA", at positions 355 to 776 of the family's 1533-position model. The record is from RNAcentral. Lineage: Bacteria; Fusobacteriati; Fusobacteriota.
UGGGGAAUAUUGCACAAUGGAGGGAACUCUGAUGCAGCAACGCCGCGUGCGGGAUGACGGCCUUCGGGUUGUAAACCGCUUUCAGCCAUGACGAAGCUUUUGUGACGGUAGUGGUAGAAGAAGCACCGGCUAACUACGUGCCAGCAGCCGCGGUGAUACGUAGGGUGCGAGCGUUGUCCGGAAUUAUUGGGCGUAAAGAGCUUGUAGGCGGUUUGUCGCGUCGAUAGUGUAAACACGCAGCUUAACUGUGUGCCUGCUGUCGAUACGGGCUGACUAGAAGAGGGUAGGGGAGAAUGGAAUUCCCGGUGGAGCGGUGGAAUGCGCAGAUAUCGGGAGGAACACCAGUGGCGAAGGCGGUUCUCUGGACCUUUCCUGACGCUGAGAAGCGAAAGCGUGGGUAGCAAACAGG